GGGUUGUGAGGUUAAGCGACUAAGCGUACACGGUGGAUGCCCUGGCAGUCAGAGGCGAUGAAGGACGUGCUAAUCUGCGAUAAGCGCCGGUAAGGUGAUAUGAACCGUUAUAACCGGCGAUUUCCGAAUGGGGAAACCCAGUGUGAUUCGUCACACUAUCAUUAACUGAAUCCAUAGGUUAAUGAGGCGAACCGGGGGAACUGAAACAUCUAAGUACCCGAGGAAAAGAAAUCAACCGAGAUUCCCCAGUAGCGGCGAGCGAACGGGGAGGAGCCCAGAGCCUGAAUCAGCAUGUGUGUUAGUGGAAGCGUCUGGAAAGGCGCGCGAUACAGGGUGACAGCCCCGUACACAAAAGCGCAUGUGCUGUGAGCUCGAUGAGUAGGGCGGGACACGUGGUAUCCUGUCUGAAUAUGGGGGGACCAUCCUCCAAGGCUAAAUACUCCUGACUGACCGAUAGUGAACCAGUACCGUGAGGGAAAGGCGAAAAGAACCCCGGCGAGGGGAGUGAAAAAGAACCUGAAACCGUGUACGUACAAGCAGUGGGAGCACCCUUCGGGGUGUGACUGCGUACCUUUUGUAUAAUGGGUCAGCGACUUAUAUUCUGUAGCAAGGUUAACCGUAUAGGGGAGCCGGAGGGAAACCGAGUCUUAACCGGGCGUUAAGUUGCAGGGUAUAGACCCGAAACCCGGUGAUCUAGCCAUGGGCAGGUUGAAGGUUGGGUAACACUAACUGGAGGACCGAACCGACUAAUGUUGAAAAAUUAGCGGAUGACCUGUGGCUGGGGGUGAAAGGCCAAUCAAACCGGGAGAUAGCUGGUUCUCCCCGAAAGCUAUUUAGGUAGCGCCUCGUGAAUUCAUCUCCGGGGGUAGAGCACUGUUUCGGCUAGGGGGCCAUCCCGGCUUACCAACCCGAUGCAAACUGCGAAUACCGGAGAAUGUUAUCACGGGAGACACACGGCGGGUGCUAACGUCCGUCGUGAAGAGGGAAACAACCCAGACCGCCAGCUAAGGUCCCAAAGUCAUGGUUAAGUGGGAAACGAUGUGGGAAGGCCCAGACAGCCAGGAUGUUGGCUUAGAAGCAGCCAUCAUUUAAAGAAAGCGUAAUAGCUCACUGGUCGAGUCGGCCUGCGCGGAAGAUGUAACGGGGCUAAACCAUGCACCGAAGCUGCGGCAGCGAACGUAUCACCCAAGACAACUUUACGGAGUUGACGAUUGACGGAGCGAAGCGACGUCAAAGCGUUCAUUAAAGUCGAGUUGGCUUAGGGAUACGUUCGUUGGGUAGGGGAGCGUUCUGUAAGCCUGUGAAGGUGUGUCGUGAGGCAUGCUGGAGGUAUCAGAAGUGCGAAUGCUGACAUAAGUAACGAUAAAGCGGGUGAAAAGCCCGCUCGCCGGAAGACCAAGGGUUCCUGUCCAACGUUAAUCGGGGCAGGGUGAGUCGACCCCUAAGGCGAGGCCGAAAGGCGUAGUCGAUGGGAAACGGGUUAAUAUUCCCGUACUUGGUGUUACUGCGAAGGGGGGACGGAGAAGGCUAUGUUGGCCGGGCGACGGUUGUCCCGGUUUAAGCGUGUAGGUGUGUGUUCCAGGUAAAUCCGGUUCACUUUAACACUGAGGCGUGACGACGAGGCACUACGGUGCUGAAGCAACAAAUGCCCUGCUUCCAGGAAAAGCCUCUAAGCAUCAGGUAACACGAAAUCGUACCCCAAACCGACACAGGUGGUCAGGUAGAGAAUACCAAGGCGCUUGAGAGAACUCGGGUGAAGGAACUAGGCAAAAUGGUGCCGUAACUUCGGGAGAAGGCACGCUGACACGUAGGUGAAGUGAUUUACUCAUGGAGCUGAAGUCAGUCGAAGAUACCAGCUGGCUGCAACUGUUUAUUAAAAACACAGCACUGUGCAAACACGAAAGUGGACGUAUACGGUGUGACGCCUGCCCGGUGCCGGAAGGUUAAUUGAUGGGGUCAGCGCAAGCGAAGCUCCUGAUCGAAGCCCCGGUAAACGGCGGCCGUAACUAUAACGGUCCUAAGGUAGCGAAAUUCCUUGUCGGGUAAGUUCCGACCUGCACGAAUGGCGUAAUGAUGGCCAGGCUGUCUCCACCCGAGACUCAGUGAAAUUGAACUCGCUGUGAAGAUGCAGUGUACCCGCGGCAAGACGGAAAGACCCCGUGAACCUUUACUAUAGCUUGACACUGAACAUUGAGCCUUGAUGUGUAGGAUAGGUGGGAGGCUUUGAAGUGUGGACGCCAGUCUGCAUGGAGCCGACCUUGAAAUACCACCCUUUAAUGUUUGAUGUUCUAACGUGGACCCGUAAUCCGGGUUGCGGACAGUGUCUGGUGGGUAGUUUGACUGGGGCGGUCUCCUCCUAAAGAGUAACGGAGGAGCACGAAGGUUGGCUAAUCCUGGUCGGACAUCAGGAGGUUAGUGCAAUGGCAUAAGCCAGCUUGACUGCGAGCGUGACGGCGCGAGCAGGUGCGAAAGCAGGUCAUAGUGAUCCGGUGGUUCUGAAUGGAAGGGCCAUCGCUCAACGGAUAAAAGGUACUCCGGGGAUAACAGGCUGAUACCGCCCAAGAGUUCAUAUCGACGGCGGUGUUUGGCACCUCGAUGUCGGCUCAUCACAUCCUGGGGCUGAAGUAGGUCCCAAGGGUAUGGCUGUUCGCCAUUUAAAGUGGUACGCGAGCUGGGUUUAGAACGUCGUGAGACAGUUCGGUCCCUAUCUGCCGUGGGCGCUGGAGAACUGAGGGGGGCUGCUCCUAGUACGAGAGGACCGGAGUGGACGCAUCACUGGUGUUCGGGUUGUCAUGCCAAUGGCACUGCCCGGUAGCUAAAUGCGGAAGAGAUAAGUGCUGAAAGCAUCUAAGCACGAAACUUGCCCCGAGAUGAGUUCUCCCUGAGACUUAGAGUCUCCUGAAGGAACGUUGAAGACGACGACGUUGAUAGGCCGGGUGUGUAAGCGCAGCGAUGCGUUGAGCUAACCGGUACUAAUGAACCGUGAGGCUUAACCUUACAACGCCGAAG
Molecule: ribosomal RNA, 3009 nt
Filed under: Salmonella enterica subsp. enterica
Lineage: Bacteria; Pseudomonadati; Pseudomonadota; Gammaproteobacteria; Enterobacterales; Enterobacteriaceae
Also listed under: 1 other name
Description: bacterial LSU rRNA
Rfam family: Bacterial large subunit ribosomal RNA
Source: RNAcentral